Molecule: non-coding RNA, 88 nt
Organism: Cicer arietinum (chickpea)
Lineage: Eukaryota; Viridiplantae; Streptophyta; Magnoliopsida; Fabales; Fabaceae
Source: Rfam
UCUCAGUGAUGAUUAUUACGAUGACGAGUCCGAUGUAAUUUCCAUUCUAAAAAUCAUGAGGACAAAACGAGGCAUUUGUCUGAGAGGA